AGUGAACGCUGGCGGUAGGCCUAACACAUGCAAGUCGAACGGCAGCACAGUAAGAGCUUGCUCUUACGGGUGGCGAGUGGCGGACGGGUGAGGAAUACAUCGGAAUCUACUUUUUCGUGGGGGAUAACGUAGGGAAACUUACGCUAAUACCGCAUACGACCUACGGGUGAAAGCAGGGGAUCUUCGGACCUUGCGCGAUUGAAUGAGCCGCUGUCGGAUUAGCUAGUUGGCGGGGUAAUGGCCCACCAAGGCGGCGAUCCGUAGCUGGUCUGAGCGGAUGAUCGGCCACACUGGAACUGAGACAGGCACCAGAGUCCUACGGGAGGCAGCAGUCGGGAAUAUUAGGCAAUGGGCGCAAGCCUGAUCCAGCCAUACCGCGUGGGUGAAGAAGGCCUUCGGGUUGUAAAGCCCUUUUGUUGGGAAAGAAAAGCAGCAGGUUAAUACCCCGCUGUUCUGACGGUACCCAAAGAAUAAGCACCGGCUAACUUCGUG
Molecule: ribosomal RNA, 492 nt
Filed under: uncultured bacterium
Lineage: Bacteria
Description: partial 16S ribosomal RNA
Rfam family: Bacterial small subunit ribosomal RNA
Source: RNAcentral